Molecule: ribosomal RNA, 464 nt
Filed under: uncultured bacterium
Lineage: Bacteria
Description: partial 16S ribosomal RNA
Rfam family: Bacterial small subunit ribosomal RNA
Source: RNAcentral
AACGAACGCUGGCGGCAUGCUUAACACAUGCAAGUCGAACGUAAGUAUUUGGUGCUUGCAUCGGAUAUGAGCGUGGCAGACGGGUGAGUAAUACAUGGGAACGUACCUUUGAGUUCGGAAUAACCUUUGGAAACGGAGGAUAAUACCGGAUACGCUCAAGAGAGGAACGGCUUGCUGCUCAAAGAGCGGCCCAUGUCAGAUUAGUUAGUUGGUGGGGUAAAGGACUACCAAGGCAAAGAUCUGUAGCUGAUUUGAGAGGAUGAUCAGCCACACUGGGACUGAGAUACGGCCCAGACUCCUACGGGAGGCAGCAGUGGGGAAUAUUGACAAUGGGGGAAACCCUGAUCCAGCAAUGCCGCGUGUAUGAAGAAGGCCUUCGGGUUGUAAGGUACUUUUAUUAGGGAAGAUGAUGACGGUACCUAAUGAAUAAGCUCCGGCAAACUUCGUGCCAGCAGCCGCCGUAA